GCUCAGAUUGAACGCUGGCGGCAUGCCUUACACAUGCAAGUCGAACGGCAGCACGGGGCAACCUGGUGGCGAGUGGCGAACGGGUGAGUAAUAUAUCGGAACGUACCCUGGAGUGGGGGAUAACGUAGCGAAAGUUACGCUAAUACCGCAUACGAUCUAAGGAUGAAAGUGGGGGAUUCGCAAGAACCUCAUGCUCCUGGAGCGGCCGAUAUCUGAUUAGCUAGUUGGUGGGGUAAAGGCUCACCAAGGCUUCGAUCAG
Molecule: ribosomal RNA, 259 nt
Filed under: Massilia sp. EX109
Lineage: Bacteria; Pseudomonadati; Pseudomonadota; Betaproteobacteria; Burkholderiales; Oxalobacteraceae
Description: partial 16S ribosomal RNA
Rfam family: Bacterial small subunit ribosomal RNA
Source: RNAcentral